CUUGCCCCCUCCCUCUGAACUCUGAUGGGAUGAAGAACUUGGUUCUCUGAACUGAGUUUGCAGCCUGCAUUUGCUGACAGGAAGAGGAACCAUGUACAGAGACUUUUGUUUUUAGUGGCUGUGCUAGUGAGUUUCCCUCAACUGCAGCUCUAUUCCUAUGGUCUGUUAUAAAUCCAAUCUGUAAAUCCUCUAACCUCUCACCACCUGAAUGCUCAAAACAGUAGAGAUCCACUGAGCACCCACUUCAGCAGUGCUGUAUUGGGAAGGUCUGUACUAUGCUUUGAAAUCCAGGUCAUUAUUUUUACCUCUGCAAAUUCUUACAAACAAAGGUAUCCCCGUGGGGGAGAUGCAGACAGCUUCUGUGAUUGAUCUGGUCUGUUGUCUUUCUCAAUCAGGCUACAGGGAAGAGUGAAAUAGAAAUAUCCUGGUCUACCUCCCUUCAUCUAUUAUUAUAUCUUAGUAUAUCUUUGAACAGUACAUGGGUUUAAAAUAUACAUAUUGAUUAUUUCACUAGCAGACAUCAUUUGCUAAUUUGAACUGGAAGAAGUUGCUUGUUCAGCAUAGUGCAGCAGCUAAUUUUCAAUCCAUAGUUGUCUUGAUUGUAUGUGUUUGGGUGUGGCCAUCCCUCCCUUUUAGAAAGAAAAAAAGUACCUCAAGAAUGGCUUGAGGUUGCAGAGAAGAAAGACUAGGGUAUACACUCAUUGCUCAAGGUCUAUCCAGAUUCACAGACCAUGUUAGUCUGUUAGGAAUUCCUUCUAUACUUGCACCAUUUUGUUUCUCCCCACAGGCUUCUGUUUUAGGAAUUCUGUUUUGUUUUGCUGGAAACAGUGGCUUAUUAUAGAGAUUAUGAACUCACUGUGUAACCCAGGUUAGCCUCAAAGUCCACAGCUUCCCAAGUAUUAAGGUUGCAGGCAUGUACACUUGCUUUAUAUUUUUUCAGUGGUAUCAGUACCCCUUGCUUUGCAAUGGGGUUGUAAAUGGACAAAGAGGCAAAGGAUGUCAGAGUUGAGAAGUGGUGUGGAUCUCAGCCAGAUCUUCUGAUAUCCAAUUACAGAUCUCUGUCCACUCUCCAUUUGCCCCCUUAACAGUUUAGUGCUUGAGGCUAGGGCAACAGACACAGAACUGUCCCCAAGCCUGGCGCCCAUUAUUCUUGCCCUCUAAUUUCCGAAGGCACGUCAGUCAAGAUCCUAGCCUCUGGGUUUGCCAAUGUCUGUGCCUCUGUUUCACCAGUCAUGUGGCCUUAGAUCAGUUGACAAAUGAACCUUUCCAUUCUUGUGAUUCCCACUGCCCCCCCUUUCCCAUGGACCUCUUCUUCUUUCCCUCUAAAGAUCACCAGUCAAUGAUUUACAGAACACCAUUGCUUUGUCCUUUGGGGGAGAUUUCAUCCUCAUGAAUUACACUGGAAGUUUGGCAAAACCAUUGAGAAACAACAUAUCUAAAAAUAGGGUAGAUGCAUCAAUUGGGAAGUAGAGAGUUUCUAGCCUCAAAAAUAGUCCUUUUUGCUCAGUGUCAGAGUAUGUUCUUUGCAGUGUCUGUGAGCAAUCUCAGCUCUUCAUUCUUGCCCCCCAGCCAAGAGCUGGAUGGAAAUGUUACCAUCCCAUGAUCAAGGUUCAGAAUCCAAGGCAAGUACCUUGGGGCUAAAACCUAGGAGCGGAGGGAUGCUCAAUUCCAGGCAUGCCAGAUAUAAGACCAGAAGCAGCACAGACUGGAGGUUCCAGGAAUUUCUCCAGACAUUCUGGGACUUGCAUGAAUAGCUGGCAGUUGCAGACAGGAAUUCUCUAUGGGAGAAUUACUCGUGCCACCCCAGGGAGAGCACCAACAGAUCUGAGACUGCACUCUUAGAGUGCACUCUUGCCUGAGACCUUGAGCAAACUACAAUAAAUGUUUUGGUGGCUUCAAUAUUGGAUGACAGUGUCACUGAGCUGUUUUGUCAACACCACAUCUACUUUCUUAGGCUACAGGUACUGCUUCUUGCUUCCUCAUGAGCCUCAGCAUCCUUGGGAUGCUUUAGAAUGCAUGGCCCAGGGCUUUCAGAAUAAAUUGCAGCCCUCCCCUAAGUAGGAACAAGAUCCAAGACCUUUUUGCUGUUCAAAAGUCUCAUUUGGAUAAGAGUGCUUAAUGUUUGCGAGCCAACAAGCACCAUGGAGCCUAACAGAGGAUGUCUGAGAGGACCAGAGUAGCUCUGGGUGUAAAGGACCUUGGUGUGUGUGUGAGAGAGAGAGGGAGGGGGAGACAGACAGACAGACAGAGACAGAGACAGACAGAUAGAGGGGAAGGUAGAAAGCAGGGGGGCUCAGAAGGGCACUUAUUGAAAUUCUAAGGGUUCAUUCUGAAUACUGACAUGUUAGAAAAUUCUUAUGGCAGGUAAGGAAAAAUGACCUGGAUAAUUCCUUUGGCUGUGAUCAGGAUAAGCAUCAUAGCAGCCUAUGUAAGGUCACAUUUACACAGAAUCUGUGUAAAGAACCCACAGUUCUCAGGCUUGGGAAGAUGGUUCAGUAGCUUAAGACUUUGCCUGACAAACAUGAAGACCUGAAUUCAAAUCCCAGAGCCCAUAAAUAUCGGAGAGAGGUAGCAUGUAUUUACAUAUAUAAGUGUUCUCUCAGCAAGAUAAGAGGAGGAAGAGAUAAGACAAGGCAAUCUCUAGACCUCAUGAAGCAACUAGCAGCCGUACAGCUGAACAAGCAAAAAGAUAUCAUUAGAAUCAAGGUAGAUGUCAAAGACUGACCUCCUCAGGAGAUUCUCUGAUCUCUCUAUACAUGUGCUGUGGCACAUGUUCACACACAAUUACUCACUUGCUUGUAUACACAGCCAUAUACUGAAAAUUAAAAAAGAAAAGAGCCUAUAGUCAUUGUAUUUCUAACCCCAAGUGGAACCAAAACAUGUCAUCUAGCCUCUGUGGCCUUUGGUUUCUUCUUCAUAUAGUACACAUAAAUAACUUUGAACUUCUGAGUUAUUUAUGAUAAACACACCAGGACCCCAAAUCAGGGUGGCUCUUGGCUUGGAAUUAUUCACACUUAAGAUUGUUUUUUGGAGUCUGAAUUUUUACCAUAGGUCUGUGACCCCACUACUCAUGAGACUAAAGUAAGAAGAUCAGAAUUCAAGGCCAGGUGAGGAGGUGAAGGGGAUGGAUGGAGAGUUAUAAUCCAGGAAACUAAAUAAAUCACAAGAAUCCUAAAAAGUACUUUCUCUUAAGUUAAAUUAAAUCUCACGUUCCCAAAUUGAUUUUAAAGCUUAAUUUGAUAUUUAAUGAUUUUUAGAUAAAUAUGUUUCAAAUACUAAGUCUGAAUACAAUAGAUUGCCACAAAGUGUCCCUUCUCCUGAGUCUAGACCAAGAACUGGGCAAUGGAAGAUUUAUUAGAAAAAUGGAUGCCUGAUAUUCUGUUCAUAAUACACAAGAGCAGCUUGUUUGGUUAAAUGAGGAAAGCUCUGGUACAUUAUGAGUGUUUCAAUCUGGAGCCUUUGUUCAUGUUUCCACUGCAAGUGUGGUACCUAUCAGAAGCAUCAUCUAUCUUUGUAUUUGAUGUUCUGUACGUUUUCAUGCGUAUGCUUAUUUCAAUCAAGUUUACCCUCUUAGGGUCUCUUUUUGUUACAGAGGUUAAUCUUUGAGAGUGUAUGAACCCAGUGGGAUUUGAAGACAUUGUGAUAGUGACUAAAUAAUGAGAAUAUGAAGUAGACUGCCUAUGUACCAAGUACUGAAUACCUAAGUGGCUAAAAGUCAUACAUGCUGUUACUAAAUUCAUGGGCACAAUGAACAGUUUUGUUGUUCUUGCAUGUUUUUGAGAAAAUGUAGAAGCAGACAUCAUACCAUUUUGCAGCUCCUAUUUGAGAUCAUUAGCCAACCAUCAGUUCAUGUCCUUAAUUUGUGGCAAUAGAUUCCUUAGGUUCAUAGUGAGUGUCUAUAAUAUCUGUGUUCUUUUUAUAUGAACAGAGGACAGAGGUACAGGAAUAGUUCACCCAAAUUUCUGACAUGCUAAAACUGGAUGGAACCAAUGGUUUACCUAAUCUAUUCUUCUCUCUGCAUAGAUUCUAACAUUAUCACAUAAAUGAUAGUAAAAACUCAGCUGCUUUCAGGCCUAGGCAUGCAAUAUACAUAUAUGGAAGAGACUGCUUUAUGAUGGAGACAAGAAUUACAGCAAAUAUUUAUAACUGAAUACUUUCCCAUUGAUACUGGAAUUGUCAAAUUUUUGGCCUGAUGCUUUGUAACCAUUUGAUAGGGCCUGUGUUUACAGUUAAGAGAAAUAGAUGAGUUGCUGGUCAACUAGUGACUGACAUUUUGAAUUAUAAACUGCCAUUUGGAUUGUUGACUCCACUUUGUAGAAUCAUUCAUUUUGGAUAGUUUGCUGCCAUUUUGCAUUGCCAGUUGUAAUUUUGAACUGUUGAUCUGUUACUUUAUCUUUUGAAUUAUUCUUAAGAGAAAGCAGUAAUUUAGUUCUCCUGUGUAUUCUUACUUCGUUAUCUAUUUGAACUUGACUAUAAAACCUUGUGGACUGGCAGGACCUUAAUGUACAUGUUUUGUCUGUGAACGUCCAGAGAAGGAAACUUAUCUGCCUGAAUCACAGAGCAAAUAUCACAGCAGAAAUCAGAGAGAAGUAGCCUAAAAUAUCCUGGCCCUACACUAUACCUGUCUUGGCACAGUCUUCUUGGCUCUGCCCAUCCCCCUUUUCUUCCUGUUUCCUGAACUCCACAGUUGAUUGGGGGUGCAUAUACCUGAUGUGACCUAAUAAACCGAUGUGAACAAAGCCCAGUGGUGCCACUUCUAACAGUAGUUAUACAGUAUAAUUUGGGCCUCCCUUUCUGUACAACAUGCCAUUUGAGCUCUUAGCUGUGUAGAUAUGCACUUUCUUGACACACAUGGUCACUGCAGAGUCAGAACACUAACAGGGGGCCUAGCUUUUGACCUUUGUAUCUGUGAGUCAUGUGAGGCUGCUAACUGCUAAAUCCUCAGAUGUUACCCUAUCUUGUCAAGCUAUGUCUGUCUUUGCAAAAGACCUGUAGGGGCACAACGAUGAACUCUAUUCAUGAGGGCAGAGAAAAGAGACCUCACACGACAGUUGGUAGGGCAUCUUGGAGGUCUCAAUGCCUCAUAAAGCCUCUGUCUUCAAGGCUCUAAACAGAAUGCUGUUCCCUGCUAGAUUAUGAGCUAUCCUUCUGACACUAGUAACAGAAGGUUCCAUCCUUGAGGACCUGGCUUUCAUGCAGUUUCAGUGCCCUUAAGAAGAAAGCUAAAUGGUCAUGUUCAUUUAAUAAUGGGGGGGGCAUCUAGGUUUUCCAACUGUGCAGUUUAAGCAAACCAGGUUACGAGGACUAGUGGAAACUGAAGGAUCAAGUAAGAAAGUCUUGUUUGGAGAGUAAAAAGAUCUUCAGCAUAUUACCUUUCAAUUUCCCUCAUAAGUUUCAGCAGUGAUAGAACAAAAGUUGGUGGUGGGAUCAGGAGGGAUCACAUGAUACCUUUUCUUGGUGCCAACCAUGGUAGAAGGAAAUCAUUGGAAACAAGAUUCAGCUUCAUAUAGCCCUUCAUUCUAGUGUAUGCCUGCUCUGGACACUCACCAUAAUGGGAGAUGGAAGGGGGUGUUGUUGGAAUUGCUGCUGUGUUCCUCCUUCAGCCUCGGUAUCAAUAACUGCAGUCUCUCUGUGGAUUCAUUGCCCCGAUACUGGAGCUGAGCCCUUGGAAGGACACUGUAGACUUGAGGUGAAGUUUGACCAGACACCACCUCUGGCCACUGUGACUGUCCAUCAGGAUGAACUGUAUCCUCAACCAUGAGCAAGAAUACACUUGGCCUUCCUUAAAUUGAUUUCAUUUGUUUGUCCCAGCCACAUGGAAUCUAAGUAAUGUAGGUGUACAUAGACAAUACUCUGAUCUUGCCAAGGGAAACAACUUCUGCCGUGAUUUCUCUCAGCACCUUUCCUUGGACCUACUCACAAGUAGUUUUGGGGAUUCACAUAGGAGAUAGAUGCUAGUCAGGCUUUGUUGUUGUUGUUGGAAUGUGGGCUACAUUCUUUGGAAGCUGUGGAUGGGGAAACAGUUCUGGAUAAAUUAAUUUGUGCAAUGUAUAAUUCAUAAAAAGAAAUCCAUGGUAUUUUUGAACAAUGGAAAUGAGAGAAUCUGCCUUUUGGGCAUUGGUCCCAACUCCAUUUUGUUCAGCAAACAUUUAUCAACACCUACUAUGUGCCAGAAUCUUGCUGGGCAACAGAUGAGCCAGAUAUUGUCCCUACCCAGGAAGGGUGAGAAAUCAAUAGAGAGACCCAGUGAGCCAUCCACUCAGGAAUAGACCUUGAGCUUGAGAUGUGGGGGGUUGUAAGUAUGAGGAGAGCUACAUGUGAGAUACACAGACAAAGCAGCAGAACUGUGGCAUGCCAGAGGAUCUGUGAGUGAGCAGCUGUGAAGGAGGGUGUGACCCACCUAUAGCUUCAGUUGCAUGGAUUCCUUCUAUCUGCUCUUCACUGUCCAUAUGAACCCAUUAAAAGUCUGCUACCUUGCAGCCAUGCUAAACAUUCUCUAUUGACUCCCACUGAAGCAGGGCUACUGUUGUGUCACCAUUACUAAUCCUGCCUCUGCUAUCACUAUUCCAGAUACCCUUCUGAGUGUCGCUCUGAGCGUUCUUUACCCCUCUCACUGGUGAAUAAUAGCUCAUCUGAAACUAUUUGAUGAGUGGCUACAAUAUAGCACAUAUAGGAGAUUCAAGAAUAGGGAGAAACUAGCCAUAGUUUUGAGACACUUCAUCUACAUUUACACCAGGUGGAAAACACUAAACACCAUGACAUCCUAAUUGCUUAUAAUUCUGGCCUUCUGGAAUUUAGGUGAGGCUCGGCCUAGCAGAAUGACUGGGUUGGGUCGCUGCUAGUGGCUGAAGUUUGUAAUGCAUUUCAGGGUUUCGUUCGAAAGUCUGGACCUUGGCAAUUACCUUUACUACAGAAUCACCACUGGAAUAGCUUAGGCUUCAUCUCAACCAAAGGUCUCUUGUUAAUCAAAGUUCCCACAGGGAUAUCCUCACAGUGCAUGCACACACAUGGGGCUGGACUGUCAGGAGGAUCUCAAGGUGGCAAAGUGGGACAUGCAUAUCAUUCAGCUUAUGUCUUGGCCAUGGCCCUGAGCUACUCCUGCCCAAUCCAGUGGCCGUAGGUUAGGGAGGAAUCAUGUCCAGACACAGGGAUGUGACAGAGAUGGCUUUAGACCCUGCAACUUAGGCCUGGAGACUUAAGCCAGACAUGCCACUUUGUAUUGGCCUUCCAGCCCGAUCUUCCAGACUGGUUGCCUGGAUUCCAGCUGCUUACAUAGAUGAGGUGGGGUUCUCCUAACCUCUGUCUCUUACUUAGAUAAAUUUUGCAAGCUUAGCUCUCCCCUUCCUAUCAUAUGCAGGAUGGAUAUCUAUUAUCCCAGGUGACUCGGUUUUCUCUGUAGGUCAACAUUGCUCUCCUCAGAAAUUCCUAGUUGUAUUAUUAUUUGUUGUCAUUUAAGACUGUACAGUAUGGUACUCUAUGGAUACCACUCCCUCAUAUAGGAACUGUUCAAGACUUGGUAAAUGACACAACUGCUCUAAGUUACUUAUUGUUAUCUCUACAUUUAGAAUUAUAAAAAUGUUUGUCUCAAAAGGUCAUUAUGAAGCCAACCCAAACAAAUGACUGUGACGACAGCCUAGUGUUAGACUUAGGGAACUGGGCAGUAAGCCCAGGUCACCUUCCUUGUACUGACUAUGGCUGUUGUUUUUAAAUAGAAAAGAUGAAUAGGUGGAUUUAUUGAUGGAUGAGUAACAGGUGAAUAUUUGCUUCUAAUACUCUUGAGCGAAUUCAGGUACCACCAGUAUUUAUCCCUGCACCCGAAAAGAGCAAUAAGCUAAACCAGAAAUCAAUUGAUAGGGUAUGCUUUAUAAAGUAUCUAUAAAGCAGCCUAUAAAGAUUUCCUUUGGGUGCUCAACUUUGAGACCCAGAGAAGUCUUAUACCUUGCCCCCAAACAGUUUUUCAUUGCAACUGGGCUGCAUCCAUUACAUCUAUGUCUAAAUCCCCUAACAAACAGACAUCCUUGCGAUGACUCUGGUUGAUUCUAAUUGCAGAUUGGCCCCUUCUUAGAAGGUCAGAGGAGAUACAAUAUCACCCUCCUGUUCCCAGACUCAUGGUAUUUCAAUUCACAAGAUGCCCUAUGCAGAAAUCCCAAGCUUGUGUGAUUCAUAGAUGACCCCUUCUGCCCUCGAUGCUAUGUAAACCCCUAACAGAAGGAUAAUUCACUCUCAUUAUCCAGGAAACAUAUCUGAGGACAAGUACAAAGAGCUCCCACUCAGGUUCAAAGAUAAGUUGUUCAGCCAAAUAGCAGAAGAUGCUCUCACUCAUAAAGAAGAGCUCGUCUCUGGCAGCUGUAAAAGAGAGCAUUCACCUUUUGUUGGAUGCAAGGUCAAGUGUGUGUCCUAGGCCCAGUUACAGCAUGUUUUUAUCCAUGCAUCUUUUAUUCCAGAAAGAUCCUGAUGCCAGGCUGAGGCUCCAGCUUCCUAUUACCACAUCAGCCUGUAUCCCAUGGGACAUUUUUGUGGGUGUGUUAUUCUAUUUAUUUUUUUCUUUGCAGUUAGAUGUUCAUUAACAUUCAGGAAUCAGGAAGUGUAUAAAUAUGCUAUGGAAAUCCUGCUUAUUCUACCAAUAAUGCUCCAGAUAUUGUUGUGUGCAUAUGGGUUUAGGGACUGUCUAUUCAUUGUUCUUGACACUGAGAUUUGAGGAGGACUGUUGAGGAAUGCUCAAAAGUUUUGGACCCUCAGCAUUUGGUUUGCUGUAGUGUAAGCAGCGGGUGUUCUCACUAAGUACAUGUCCUGAGGGCUUGUCACUUUCUCCAUGUCUCUAUUCCUUCACCUGGCAAAUUAUUUUGUUGGUUGUCAUGAAGAUGAGACAGAAUAAUAUGAGUGAUGUGGGUGCUUAGGGAAUCUUCCAGGCCAUCUGUGGUGUAAGUGCCUACAAAGACAUUUUAAGGCAAAAGAAUCCCACUUUCCUAUUGAGCCAAGGUCCAAAAGGUAGUGUUACUGCCAGUACAGGAGAACUGGCCUAGAAACUGGGAGCUGCUCUUGAAUUUGGAAGAGCUUGCUGUGACAGGCACAUGAAAGUCUCCUCCAAGGACAUAAUAUAUGGGUAUAAAUGUCUUUCUCUGAAUACCUGUGAGCAUCCCAGAGCACCACUCCUCUCUCAGGAAUGACAGGUGUACAUCCUAUGAUACUAAAUGUGAUAAUGGAUAGAAACUUGAACAAUCUAAACUUACUCUGUGACCUUCCUCCCCAUAUUCACAGAAGACAAUGACCACAGAGGAAACCAAUACUCUCAUUAAUAUAUCAAGUUUGAAUCAUGUCCAGACACAGAGAUGUGACAGAGAUGGCUUUAGACCCUGCAGCUUAGGCCUGGAGACUUAAGCCAGACAUGCCACUUUGUAUUGGUCUUCCAGCCCCAUUUUCUGGCCUGGUUGCAUAGGUUACAGGGCAGAUUCCAGCUACUUACACAGGCAGCGGCAGGCAAAAGAAGAAUACAAUGAGGGGCCUAGAGGAGCAAGACUAAAGAAAUUAGAAGGGAUAAAAAAGGAAGGAAAAGCCAGGCGUUGGUGGCACA
This is a long non-coding RNA of Mesocricetus auratus (golden hamster), 9571 nucleotides long. RefSeq lists it as uncharacterized. The record is from RefSeq and is a predicted model, not a curated record. The transcript has 3 exons. Lineage: Eukaryota; Metazoa; Chordata; Mammalia; Rodentia; Cricetidae.